AUGGCUGAGCCAGCCCAGCCGAAAGCAGCCACGCCUAGCCCAGCAAUAAGCACCGCACCAGCCCAUAGACUUGUGCAACUUAUUUUGGCAAGUCAAGCCUUGGCACCAAGAGAGCAGGGAGCGAGAGGUGUGGGGGCCGAGGCCAGAUGGGUCCCCACAUCCUAUUCUCUGGAGCAGCAGCGACACUGUCAUCUCGCUCACCUUUCUUCACAGCCUGUAGUGCCCCACGUGGAGGUGUGGGCUCACCAGGGAGGACUCUCACCUCGGACAGCUGAUCCCUGUCCCCCGUGCCCAGGGACAUUCUUCUUGUCAGGAGUUGAUGAGUUCCCAGUGGAGGUGGUGGACUCCUAAGCUUUUCAAGGGAUGGGCUCAAGUAAUACAAUCCCCCCCCCAACGUAGCCAUUGGUGGCCCCUUGUUCUCAGCUUUCAGUUGCUUCUGUGUAUGCGAGGCCAGAAUCCAGGUCACAGCUCAACUGGACAUCACGGCACUGACAUUGUUCAUUUUCAUUUUGGCAGCACGCUCAGAGCUGUUCAAGAGAAGGUCACAGCGAGAUCAUAUAAACCAAAUUUAGCCAUCUGGGUACAAGGAGAGAGUUAAGUGAUUCGUGUCUGAUAAGGAAAACCAGCUUUUCACAAAGCAUCCUUUAGCGGCAGUCUUUUAGAAACCCCAGAGAUGACACCUGUCAAACCUCACAGCGCACCUGGGCUUGAGGGGACCGGAGAGUGCACAGGUUCCCUGUGUAGAUGAGAUCCCGAGGAGAUGGUGGUAGUUUUCUCAUCUUAGACUAACUCCUAUAUCCCAGAGUCCCAGAGCACUUUAUGUUCCCUGGUCACACGUUGAGGGAGGCGAUUUUAAACUAACUGGAGCAGAGAGGCUGGGGCGGGGCUUAGUUCACCUCCACUCAUGGUCUCUGCUCACCCUGAAGUCACAUCUGGCACUAAACCAUUUCCCUAGAAUAGGUACCUCACUCUGCUACACAUUAAUCACGAAACUAAACAAGAGAUUUGACCGAGCAUGGUGGCUCACGCCUGUAAUCCCAGCACUUUGGGAGGCCAAGGCAAGCGGUUCACCUGAGGUCAGGAGUUCAAGACCUGCCUGGCCAACAUGGUGAAACCCCAUCUCUACUAAAAAUGCAAAAAGUAGCCAGGUGUGGUGGCAGGUACCUGUAAUCCCAGCUACUUGGGAGGCUGAGGCAGGAGAAUUGCUUGAACCCGGGAGGUGGAGCUUGCAGUGAGCCGAUAUCGUACCACCACACUCCAGCCUGGGCAACAGAGCAAGACUCCAUCUCAAAAAUAAAUAAAUAAAUAAAUAAAUAAAUAAGUAAAUAAAUAAACAAGAGAUUUGGCAGGGCUGGAGUGGGGUGGAAAUCAGGAAAUCAUACACCGGAUAGCAAAAUCUCACAGAACUUUUCUUUCAACAUCUCUUUUCAUUUCCUGAAGACCCUUCCACCAAAACCUACCCCAUAUUUCUUCCCCCUCUCCCCCUACACAGUUCCUCAGAUCAACUCCAAUGGCCGUAGCCCACUCCGCAAGGCAGAUGCCAGACAUUUGGUCUUCUCAUCCUCAUUCUCCAUCCUUGGAAGCCACUUAAUGAGGAAUUGAGAGAGAUGGGGUGGCCUGGGAUGGGGACAGGGGAGACUCAAGUAUUCAUUCUCCAGCAUAGGCCACUUCUUAGAGGAGAGAAUUAAAACUGUCCUACAUUACUAUUAUUUCCCAUAUUAUAGUAUUAGUAGUAGUAGGCCAAGGAAAGCAGACUCGAGGAGACAAAAGGACAAAAAUUUCAGUGUACAAACAGAAUCAAAUAGCCAUUAUGUGAGAAUUGUUCAUGGUUCAGGGUGACUUUGAAAAUGGCCUCUUCAAUGACAGAGGAAAAUGAAGUUAUCGGGACAGCUAUCACGUGUCACACACUGAGAUGCUGUGACUGUUAAAUUUUAAUACGUUUGGUGCAAGGAAAAUGGAAAUUUCUGAGAAGAGAAAAGCCAAAGGGCAAAGAGAAGAGAAAUGAAACCAGCCUGGGAGUGGGGGAGUGGAAGCUGGGGCUGUCACGAGGCCCUGGCACCAUGCCCUCUUUCUUGUAAGGGAGAUAGAUGCGCUCUCAAUCACUGUGGGCCCAACUGGGAGGUUGG
Molecule: long non-coding RNA, 2126 nt
Organism: Macaca fascicularis (crab-eating macaque)
Lineage: Eukaryota; Metazoa; Chordata; Mammalia; Primates; Cercopithecidae
Source: Ensembl